UAAUUGCCUUCAUGACGUCUUGGGA
Molecule: non-coding RNA, 25 nt
Filed under: Rattus norvegicus (Norway rat)
Lineage: Eukaryota; Metazoa; Chordata; Mammalia; Rodentia; Muridae
Source: RNAcentral